GACGAACGCUGGCGGCGCGCUUAACACAUGCAAGUCGAACGGAAAGGCCUGCUUUCCCUUGUGGAUUGCGGGUACUCGAGUGGCGAACGGGUGAGUAACACGUGAGUGAUCUGCCCCCAGCUUGGGUAUAAGCCUGGGAAACUGGGUCUAAUUCCCGAUAGGACUGCAGGGUGGUGCCUGUGGUGGAAAACGAUUUUCUAGUGGUUGGGGAUGAGCUCGCGGCCUAUCGGCUUGUUGGUGGGGUAAUGGCCUACCAAGGCGGCGACGGGUAGCCGGCCUGAGAGGGUGGACGGCCACAUUGGGACUGAGAUACGGCCCAGACUCCUACGGGAGGCAGCAGUGGGGAAUAUUGCACAAUGGGCGGAAGCCUGAUGCAGCGACGCCGCGUGGGGGAUGACGGCCUUCGGGUUGUAAACUCCUUUCGACCGCGAGGAAGCCACCUGGUUGGAAGGGUGGUGACGGUAGUGGUAGAAGAAGCACCGGCUAACUACGUG
RNAcentral lists this ribosomal RNA (494 nucleotides) under uncultured bacterium. RNAcentral describes it as "partial 16S ribosomal RNA". It matches the Rfam family "Bacterial small subunit ribosomal RNA", at positions 28 to 507 of the family's 1533-position model. The record is from RNAcentral.